CCUACGGGGGGCAGCAGUGGGGAAUAUUGGACAAUGGGGGAAACCCUGAACCAGCGAAGCCGCGUGAGUGAAGAAGUAUUUCGGUACGUAAAGCUCUAUCAGCAGGAAAGAAAAUGACGGUACCUGACUAAGAAGCCCCGGCUAACUACGUGCCAGCAGCCGUGGUAAUACGUAGGGGGCAAGCGUUAUCCGGAUUUACUGGGUGUAAAGGGAGCGUAGUCGGCAGCGCAAGUCUGGAGUGAAAUGGCGGGGCCCAACCCCGGAACUGCACUUGAAACUGUGAAGCUGGAGUGCAGUAGAGGUGAGCGGAAUUCGUGGUGUAGCGGUGAAAUGCUUAGAUAUCAGGAGGAACACCGGCGGCGAAGGCAGCUUACUGGACUGUAACUGACGUUGAGGCUCGAAGGCGUGGGUAGCAAACAGGAUUAGAUACCCUAGUAGUC
This 440-nucleotide ribosomal RNA is filed under the name uncultured bacterium. RNAcentral's name for it is "partial 16S ribosomal RNA". It matches the Rfam family "Bacterial small subunit ribosomal RNA", at positions 338 to 795 of the family's 1533-position model. The record is from RNAcentral.